UAACGCGAAGAACCUUACCUACUCUUGACAUCCAGAGAACUUUCCAGAGAUGGAUUGGUGCCUUCGGGAACUCUGAGACAGGUGCUGCAUGGCUGUCGUCAGCUCGUGUUGUGAAAUGUUGGGUUAAGUCCCGCAACGAGCGCAACCCUUAUCCUUUGUUGCCAGCGGUCCGGCCGGGAACUCAAAGGAGACUGCCAGUGAUAAACUGGAGGAAGGUGGGGAUGACGUCAAGUCAUCAUGGCCCUUACGACCAGGGCUACACACGUGCUACAAUGGCGCAUACAAAGAGAAGCGACCUCGCGAGAGCAAGCGGACCUCAUAAAGUGCGUCGUAGUCCGGAUUGGAGUCUGCAACUCGACUCCAUGAAGUCGGAAUCGCUAGUAAUCGUGGAUCAGAAUGCCACGGUGAAUA
RNAcentral lists this ribosomal RNA (411 nucleotides) under uncultured bacterium. Its description in RNAcentral is "bacterial SSU rRNA". It matches the Rfam family "Bacterial small subunit ribosomal RNA", at positions 957 to 1368 of the family's 1533-position model. The record is from RNAcentral.